Molecule: long non-coding RNA, 549 nt
Filed under: Vitis vinifera (wine grape)
Lineage: Eukaryota; Viridiplantae; Streptophyta; Magnoliopsida; Vitales; Vitaceae
Description: long non-coding RNA (VVIN_LNC000173)
Source: RNAcentral
UUGCCUCACUCUCCUUCAAAACCGAAGAUUGACCAGCCAUGGAAAGGCAAUACUGAGCAAUCUCUCUAAACUUGGGCACACUUCUGAGGUCCACCUUGGUUCCAUCCUUCAAUGUAAUCACAAUAUCACCCCACUCCCCCACAAAACGCGGCACCACCUGCACAUCCUUUAUCACUUUGUAGGAGAAGUCGCUCCUAUCUUGACCAGUCAGUCCCGAAAUCACGGUCACCCUCAAAUUGGUGAACCUGUACCGGAGAAAGAAGGCUCUCGAAACUGCUGCCAGAGUUAAGGGUAACCAGAGAAGAGUGAAACCCAGAAGGAGGUUGGCAACGAGGUCACCGUAGUGAGCUCCGCCGUCAAAGAAUAUGGUUUCUUCGGUUGGUUUGGAGGUGGACUUUGAGGUCGUGGCAGUGGGUUUGUUGGUGGGGGAGGAUACGUGGAGCUUGGAAUGUGGCCUGUUGGUUCUGGAGGAGGGUAUGGAGGGGAGUUUAGUGAAGGAGAGUUUGGUAGAGAAUUGAAGAGAGUGGUGGGUUGUAGACGUGGUGGCGG